ACAAUGAAGAGUUUGAUCCUGGCUCAGGAUUAACGCUAGCGGGAGGCUUAACACAUGCAAGUCGAACGGUAAGGCCCUUUCGGGGGUACACGAGUGGCGCACGGGUGAGUAACGCGUAUGCAACCUACCUUUAACUGGGGAAUAGCCCGGGGAAACUCGGAUUAAUACCCCAUAACAUUCAGAAAUCGCCUGGUUUUUGAAUUAAAGCUCCGGCGGUUAAAGAUGGGCAUGCGUGACAUUAGCUUGUUGGUGAGGUAACGGCUCACCAAGGCUUCGAUGUCUAGGGGGUCUGAGAGGAUGAUCCCCCACACUGGUACUGAGACACGGACCAGACUCCUACGGGAGGCAGCAGUGAGGAAUA
RNAcentral lists this ribosomal RNA (361 nucleotides) under Bacteroidales bacterium. RNAcentral's name for it is "bacterial SSU rRNA". It matches the Rfam family "Bacterial small subunit ribosomal RNA", at positions 1 to 363 of the family's 1533-position model. Lineage: Bacteria; Pseudomonadati; Bacteroidota; Bacteroidia; Bacteroidales. The record is from RNAcentral.